AUCUGGGCGGCGGAAUUCAGGAUGACGAGCGUGUCCCCUUUGCGGGGGGCGCGUUCGUCGUUUGAUAUUUCCGUCGCCGAUCCAACCCGCAGACGUCGCGACCUGUUCGCGGUCGGUCCCUGCUCGGAGGAGCCGCGUUCGAGUUCGUUGUGGGCGCGUUUCUGCGCGUCACACGGCGAAGACGCGGAUCUCUGGCUGGCCGACGGACAGUACGCUAAACGGUGUCCGGUGUCGUCGUCUCGUACGCGCGCGCACCGGUGCCGGUCGGCGACGAAUUCUUCGGGCCUCUUUCCGACCCGUCUUGAAACACGGACCAAGGAGUCUAACAUGCGCGCGAGUCGCGGGGUGUCGAGCGCAUCACGGUGCGUUCGUUACGUUGCGAAACCCGUACAUGUCGAAGGCGUAAUGAAAGUAAAUGGGGAAGAUGGUGUUCCGAGUACACGUUUCGCGGUCGUCGGUACCGCGGCCGGACACCCGCAUUCCCGGGGCGUCUCAACGGCCCGUCGCGGAUGCGGACAGUCGUCUCUCGGGGCGGCUGUCGGUCUGCGACGAACCGA
RNAcentral lists this ribosomal RNA (557 nucleotides) under Froggattiella penicillata. Its description in RNAcentral is "partial 28S ribosomal RNA". Lineage: Eukaryota; Metazoa; Arthropoda; Insecta; Hemiptera; Diaspididae. The record is from RNAcentral.